ACACUAAGGGUGACGAUUCUUGUGUGUUAAUAUGCUCAUAUUUAUUGUUUAAAGCUUUACAUUAUUUAUGUCACAUUGAUCAUGAGAUUGUGGGAGGUAUACAAUCUAGUUGCUAUACUUGUGGAGUUUGACAUAGACUCACUCUUGCUAUUUUCCCCAAACCUCAGGAGAAGUUUAGGCUUGUGAUCAACCAGUCAGUUGGAUCCUGUAGAAAAAAGUUAAUACCCAAAGUUGGAGUUAUCUAUCCGCUGUAUGCUAUUAAAGGUUAUCUCUUUUAUACGGAGUACGGUAUAUAUUUAUGCAUUGUGUUUUGAUAUUACCCCUUAUUUGUAGCUAUAUGUGAGAUUUGGCUUCUAAGACUCACAUAUGGUGCAUAUCUGGUUUUGUCCUUAAAAUCGGGUAUUACAGAUGUUUAUGCUAACACUUAACUAGUUCCACAAAGCUUUGUUGUCUAUUUGAGCUCCACAGGAUUCAAGGAUCAAAGAAGACUAGCAGAUGGAGGACAUCCUAAUCGCUGUCAGGGUGCUGCCGACAUUCAAUUACACCUCCACCACCUGCUAGCUACAUCAGAAGAAAUUGCAUCAACAUCCAGCUUGGGGGAGAGCACCCUCAUUUAUCCAGCUAAGUAUUCUACUCACGUUUAUACUUUACUCUAACAAUAAAAUGAUGCAUAAUCAUAAGAACCCAAAUAAAGAUUUUGUGCUUAUAUAUAUAUCUUUGCUUAGUUUGCUAAAUAAAUAGAUAAAUAAAGUUUGCUAUGAACUCUCAUGAUAAGCUCUCACAUGGAAAUGAUGAAUAGUUGCUCUGCCAUUACUAGUUCUCAAAAUUGAAAUCUCUCUCAAGUUUAGGCAUGACUGUUAUUAAUUAAAAUUUGCUCUAAACCUGAACUUGUGGGGAGAGUACUUGAUCUAAAGUCUAAGUCGUUAACAGAUAUGAUAUGGGAAGGUUGAGCUACUGUUUAUCUGUUCCUAGAGAUGCUAGAAUUCUGGAGAAUUUUAUCUUUGAAAAUCAUUAAAAUGUUGCAUGAUGAGUUCCUGUAUGAUGAGAGUUUAAAUUCCUACCACAGCCAUAUAUACAUGCUUAUUAGACUAUGAACCACAUAUCUACUUUACUGCUUAUGAGCAUUGAGUGUGGUCAAGCUGUGUAGACCCUUAGGAGCUUGUCAUGUGGUUAAAAUCAAGAUUCACUUGCACAUUCACUCACACAUGCUGCUUCUACUCUGGAAGUACGCAUCCACAUAUAUCCACCCAUUUCCAUAUCCAGAACUACCCAAAAAUAUUCUACUCCUAAUCCGGGAGAGAAUAGCCAAAAACAUUCUCCUAUUUCUGUUCUUCCCUAUGAAAUAAAUGCUCGAGUUAUCUUGGUUACUACCACUUGCUAUAUUAUUUCAGGAGAUGAGUGCUCUAAAAAAAGAAGAGAAAAAAAGUGAAUACGAGGAAAUAAAAAGGGGCAAGUGCCCGGAACCUCGAAAGAAAAGAACAAGUGAGACGAGAGGUAAAAAUGGACAAGUGUCCAACAGUAGAAUUAGGGGUACAAGAUACCCACCUGAGAGAAAAGAAAAAGAAAAUAUAGAGCAUCUCAUUCUCCUCAAAAAGUUUUAAAAGAGCAAGAAAGGUAUGUACCCCUUCAAAAGAGCAUAAGUAGAAUUAGACUUUCACUAUUGUUAUCACCAUCAUCACCAUACACCAUUCAUUCGCCACACAUGCACAUCUUGAUUUGACUUAUUGACUUGUUUCUUUUGGAUCCAUGGUUUGACUAUGCAAUAAAUGUCUUGUAAGUAUGUAUUAGCUGUCUCCCACCUAUGAGCUCCAGAUAUCAAAACCUUAUUAGAGUAGGGUGAGAGAGAAGGCAAUGACACUAUGCUUCAUACCACAAAUACUACAUAUUUUGAGAGAAGGCAUAUACCAUUACUGCCUUGGUAAGGAUCCAGAAAUACCACAAAAGAGAGACUAGAGAGAGUCAUACAAGGAAUCUCUGAGUUUUAUUUGAAAAUCUGCAAAAACUCCAGAGCUAUAGUUAAUCGAACAACAAGAGACAUGGCGCUUGACUAGACCGUUCUAUCUUUUAACUGCUCAAGACACAAGUGACGGUUGCAAGCCCCAUGGUGGAAGGUAAAAUGAGUAAGUUUUGAAUCUUAACAGUUUACCCUAACCCAGAGAUGAGAUCUUGUUUGAACGCAUGUGUAUCUUUAAGGUAUGAAACCAC
Molecule: long non-coding RNA, 2205 nt
Filed under: Sorghum bicolor (sorghum)
Lineage: Eukaryota; Viridiplantae; Streptophyta; Magnoliopsida; Poales; Poaceae
Description: long non-coding RNA (SBIC_LNC000987)
Source: RNAcentral